ACCGAAUUAGUUUUGCAAACUCGC
RNAcentral lists this non-coding RNA (24 nucleotides) under Arabidopsis thaliana (thale cress). The record is from RNAcentral. Lineage: Eukaryota; Viridiplantae; Streptophyta; Magnoliopsida; Brassicales; Brassicaceae.